UAGAAGGAGAUUCAUCACAUUCAUCUCUCUCUCUCUCUCUCUCUCUCUCUCUCCUGUGUGUGUGUGUGUGUGUGAGAGAGAGAGAGAGAGAGAGAGAGAGAGAGAGAGAGAGAAGGUAAUGUGAAGAUGGAGGCAGAG
This 138-nucleotide microRNA precursor is filed under the name Marmota monax (woodchuck). The record is from RNAcentral. Lineage: Eukaryota; Metazoa; Chordata; Mammalia; Rodentia; Sciuridae.